CCCGUCAACCAAACAACUGAAUAUUACAACCAAAUGAGCCAAGCAAGGUAGUGUAACAUACCACUCGUAAUCUUGCACUUUGUAAUCCUAUUAUAAAACAUGAUCUUACUCUUCUUGAACCAAACAUUCACUUCAAAACACGAUGCCUGUACUUUUUUCUAACUGCAAUCCAAAUAAAGGAAAUGUGUCAAAUUCAUGCUAUCUUAUAUAUAUAUACACAUAUAAGCACAAGUAUUUGUCGACGAUGCCGACUUACUAAUGGUAAAUUUUCAUAGUGUUAAUUUGCACUAACUAUACAAAUGAGGUAUUAGCAUAAUAACAAGGUUGAGGUUUUGGGAACUUUCAGAUCUCAAGUUGAAGUCCCAUCCUAUGUAAGUGUGUGAGUUCUCUUCUAAUUUAUUCAGAUUAGUCACAAUUUUAUUAAUUGUUGAGUUAGUUAUUUAGUUCAAAAUAUGUAUUUAUUGGUUUUAUUGGAACGAUUGUAACUUUGAAAAGAAAGCAUAACACUAAGAGGAUCAAAAUGUACUGAACUAAAAUAUAGAUACUAUCCCAACUUUAAACUUAAUAUAAGGACUAAACUAUAAUUUGAUAUUUUUUUAUUUUGUUUUAAUAAUUUCAAAUAUGAUAUAUAUUUAAUAACAAUUACAUUUUAAUUAACGUUCAAAUAAUGCUUGAGUAGUGAAGACAACAUGUAAGCAAAAAUAAUUGUAUCUAUAUAGUAUUAGUAUGUUAUAAUCAUAUUUAAUCAAUGUAUUAUAUAAAUAAAUUUGCAUACAUUAAUAAUUUUAAUCAUAUAAAUUUCAAAAGGUGCAUAUAUUCAUAUUUUAUAAUGGUAAGAUUAGACUAUAUUUUAAAAUUUGUUAAAAGAAACAAGGACUUGAGUUUACCAAAAAGAAAAAGAAAAAGAAAAAGAAGAUAGGAUUAAAUCGAGAUUUAAGAACAAGGACUGACUAUAAAAUUUAGCCUUUUUCUUUUUUUCAAAAAACUUGAAUACAAAUGAAUGGAAUAAACCAAUGAAGGAUAAGCACCUGUCCAAAGAUGCACCGGAGAAAGUGAUAAUUGGGUUAACAAAGGUUGGAUUAUAUAAUAAUAAUUAAAGAAAAAGGGAAAACCCAAAAUGGUAAUAGAACAGUAGACAAAGUGGCCAAAAUAGGUGUUUGUAUAUAACAAAACCCAAAAUAGAAUUCCAAAAAUGGAAAGUGUGUUGAAAGAAGGAGAGGGUAAUGGGAAAAUGGUUAAAAGCAGUAUUUCUAUAAAGGGAAAAAAAAAACCAAAGGAGCAGUUUGUCUGAGUGAAUGAUGAAAGCGAUCUAACACUUACACCACCCCAAUUAUUGUCUAUUUUUCUCUUCCAAUGUUUUUAAAAAGAAGUGUACAUAUUGGAAUAGGGACCAAUGCCUGCAUAGUCAAGUCCCAUUCACCAUUACAAAUCCAACAUUUCUAACCCACUUUGUAAUAUUUAAAUCUUUUUACUUAAAUUAUUGUCUUAUUUUUUUCUUUCUAAGACCAAAGGUAAUGAACAAGUUGGAAGGUGAAAAGUUAGUCUGUGUGUUCUUCUCUUUUUAUUGUUAUUGUAAUAAAGAGAGUAUAUUUAUUGUAUUGAUGGGUUUGUAUUGUAAAGAAGAAGGCAGAAAAGCUGCAGUGGUUGAAGAAAUCCUAUAAAUGGAAUGCCACAACUUUUUCCAAAGGCAAAAAUAGUAUCAAACCAACCCCACAUCAAAGGCCAACCAUUACCAUACCUCUCCCUCCGCUUAUUAUUAUAUAUAUAUAUAUAUAUAUUUUAAUUUUACUCCUUUCGGUUCCUUCUACCCUUUGCUUUCUCUUCAUUUUUCUCUGACUUCGUCCCCACUUUUUUCUUCUCAACCACCGACUAGGUUAUAUUCUUUACAGUUUUUUUUAUAUAAUUAACAUUUUAACAAUUCAAUCCUUGAAUUUAUCAAGAUAUGGGUUUAUAUGAUAUUUUAUCAUAUUAAUCUAAAAUAUUGUAUAUAUUAAUAUAUAUUUAACAAUUGAAAGUUCUUCACUUAAAACAAUUUGUAAAAAACCUUUAAUUUAUACUUAAUUUACAUAAACUAAACAUGAAAUAUUAUUAUUGAGACUUCUAAAAGAGAAAUCCAAGGAAACAAGGACUCCCAAUCUAAAGAUAUUAUUUUAAGAUUCAAAGUAGGGUUAUUACAUAUAAAAGUCAAAUGACGAAGAAAUUAACUAAAUUGAGUACCAAGUUUUUGUUGAGAAAAAUUGGAAUGAUUUAAUUAAAUAAAAGAAAGAAAAUUGGAGAUAUGUCGAAACACUAGAAAAGCAAUCAAAAUUCAAUAUAUUAUAAAACGAAUAAACAAAAAGAGAUAUGAAUCUGCAGAUCCUAUGCAAUGGAAAAGAGCAUCUAAUAAGGAGACAGAGAGAGUCUUUUACGCUUUGGUCUUCAAAAGAUUAAUAUGUAUUAGAAAAGAAAAGUAAUAGCACAUGAUUUGACAUCUUAUUUUAACACAUUUGAAACAAAUUUAACUCUUAUUUCAAUAUUUGAGUAUCAAUCCAUUCAACAAAAGAAUUAACAAAGUCAAUUAAAAACUCAAGUGAAUAUUAUUUUAGAUUGAAACUUCAACUAAUGACACAUUUAUUUUUCCAGGGCUGUUUUACUAUUUAAGCCUUCAUAUAUUUCAAUUUGGGGCAAAACAUCUUUCAGUUAAAUUCUCACCCAAUUAUCUCAUUGUUCUAACUAGGUAAAUUAUAUUUUUAGGUGAAAAUCAUAAAUAAAAAUAAGAUGACAUAAAGUAAUUUAUUGAUUUAUACACUUGGAAUGAAUGGUUUAGAAAAAGGAAAAGUAAUUGGGUCUACCUUCAAAAAGAAAGGGAGAGGGAUUGAAGGAGCUUGAAG
Molecule: long non-coding RNA, 2870 nt
Filed under: Gossypium raimondii (Peruvian cotton)
Lineage: Eukaryota; Viridiplantae; Streptophyta; Magnoliopsida; Malvales; Malvaceae
Description: long non-coding RNA (GRAI_LNC006244)
Source: RNAcentral